This 398-nucleotide ribosomal RNA is filed under the name uncultured bacterium. RNAcentral describes it as "partial 16S ribosomal RNA". It matches the Rfam family "Bacterial small subunit ribosomal RNA", at positions 523 to 918 of the family's 1533-position model. The record is from RNAcentral.
AUACGUAGGGGGCGAGCGUUGUCCGGAAUUACUGGGCGUAAAGAGCUCGUAGGUGGUUUGUCGCGUCGUCUGUGAAAUUCCGGGGCUUAACUCCGGGCGUGCAGGCGAUACGGGCAUAACUUGAGUACUGUAGGGGAGACUGGAAUUCCUGGUGUAGCGGUGAAAUGCGCAGAUAUCAGGAGGAACACCGGUGGCGAAGGCGGGUCUCUGGGCAGUAACUGACGCUGAGGAGCGAAAGCAUGGGUAGCGAACAGGAUUAGAUACCCUGGUAGUCCAUGCCGUAAACGGUGGGCGCUAGGUGUAGGGGUCUUCCACGACUUCUGUGCCGUAGCUAACGCAUUAAGCGCCCCGCCUGGGGAGUACGGCCGCAAGGCUAAAACUCAAAGGAAUUGACGGGG